Molecule: ribosomal RNA, 497 nt
Filed under: uncultured bacterium
Lineage: Bacteria
Description: partial 16S ribosomal RNA
Rfam family: Bacterial small subunit ribosomal RNA
Source: RNAcentral
GAUGAACGCUGGCGGCGUGCCUAAUACAUGCAAGUCGAGCGAACAGACGAGGCGCUUGCUCCUCUCACGUUAGCGGCGGACGGGUGAGUAACACGUGUAUCACCUACCUAUAAGACUGGGAUAACUUCGGGAAACCGGAGCUAAUACCGGAGAAUAUAUUGAACCGCAUGGUUCAAUAGUGAAAGACGGUUUUGCUGUCACUUAUCGCUGGAUCCCGGCCGCAUUAGCUAGUUGGUAAGGUCACGGCUUACCAAGGCAACGAUGCGUAGGCGACCUGAGAGGGUGAUCGCCCACACGGGAGCUGAGACACGGUCCAGACGCCUACGGGAGGCAGCAGUAGGGAAUCGUCCGCAAUGGGCGGAAGCCUGACGGAGCAACGCCGAGUGAGUGAUGAAGGUCUUCGGAUCGUAAAACUCUGUUAUUAGGGAAGAACAAAUGUGUAAGUAACUAUGCACGUCUUGACGGUACCGAAUCAGAAAGCCACGGCUAACUACGUG